RNAcentral lists this long non-coding RNA (401 nucleotides) under Capsicum annuum. RNAcentral describes it as "long non-coding RNA (CANN_LNC018095)". The record is from RNAcentral. Lineage: Eukaryota; Viridiplantae; Streptophyta; Magnoliopsida; Solanales; Solanaceae.
UCAAAGCCUUCUUAUGUGUAGAAAUGGAACGUCACGGGGAAAGAGGUUCGACAAUAUUUCAUGGAUUUAUUGUUAUAGGCUUCUGUAGAACUCAAAACAAUCUUCAUCUCUUAUUUUGUGAUGUUUUAAGGAUCGCAUGACCUAAUUUUUUGUGGUCUCUUUAAACAUGAGACGUGGAUCUCCUUGAAUCUAUUUUCAUUAUGUUCCUAUAUUACAUAUGAAGCAGCUAAAUUAACCUGACCUUAUGGGCAGAAGAGAAGGGUUUGGCUGCACUAACCAUUGUUCCUUCUGGUCCCAAAUGAGAUGUUGGUACAAUAUUUGAAUUUUUCACCUUUUUGAUAUCAUCCUCAAUAUUAUAGAAGCAAGAUAAAAAAGAUUUUAAGGCAGCAUAAAACUUGUUA